RNAcentral lists this ribosomal RNA (253 nucleotides) under uncultured bacterium. Its description in RNAcentral is "partial 16S ribosomal RNA". It matches the Rfam family "Bacterial small subunit ribosomal RNA", at positions 524 to 776 of the family's 1533-position model. The record is from RNAcentral.
UACGUAGGGUGCGAGCGUUAAUCGGAAUUACUGGGCGUAAAGCGUGCGCAGGCGGUUUUGUAAGUCAGAUGUGAAAUCCCCGGGCUUAACCUGGGAACUGCGUUUGAAACUACAAGGCUAGUGUGUGGCAGAGGGGGGUGGAAUUCCACGUGUAGCAGUGAAAUGCGUAGAGAUGUGGAGGAACACCGAUGGCGAAGGCAGCCCCCUGGGUUAACACUGACGCUCAGGCACGAAAGCGUGGGGAGCAAACAGG